This 2733-nucleotide long non-coding RNA is filed under the name Capsicum annuum. Its description in RNAcentral is "long non-coding RNA (CANN_LNC000077)". The record is from RNAcentral. Lineage: Eukaryota; Viridiplantae; Streptophyta; Magnoliopsida; Solanales; Solanaceae.
ACCCGUUUCUGUUUGUUCUGACGACCUCAUUGAAAAACAGCCGCCUCCUCCAUUAAUUCCGGUUGAAAAUCACCGAAAAAUGCCCCAAAACUAUUCUAUGAUGCGGCUGUUUUGGUGGAAACCACAACCGGAUUCCGCUAUUCCUAAAAGGGGUUAAAUCAUUUUUUAUUCGGUUUUGUUGGUCGAGGUCGGGUCAAGGUAUUUCGAUCGGAGCUCUAAUCAAAUAUUUCGACGGAUUGAAAUAAAAGUAAUAUCGAGGUCCAAUUCUAUCUUCUCUCGCUUUAAUUUUUAUGUUAUCGUGAAUGAUUUGUGUGUUUGGUAUGUUUGAAUCUUGAUUGUGUAUUGGUUGAUAUUGGAUUUGAAUGUUGAAAAGUGAGUUGAUAAUUGAAGCAUGUGUUAAUCAUCGAUCGAUAAGAAUGAAGUUGGGGGUGGGAAUUGCAAAAAUCAAUAAAAAGUGAUUAUAGUCAUAUUUUGAUUCAUUGUUGAUGUUUAACGUGAUAGUAUCAUGCUUUAAGUCGAAACGGGUAGGCAAACGUAGGUUGGGUAGGCAAAGUUUAGAAUUUGUCAUUUUGUUGAAUGUUUGAAAUUUUGUUGAAUGGUUUGAUUUUAUCGCAUUGAAAAGAUGUAUUCAUUUAGUCGGGGAAUGCCCCAAGGUACAUUGUAUUUAUUCAUCGGGGAAUGCCCCAACGUAUUAUGUUGGCAGAAGACGUUCGUGAUGAACGUCCAAGGCAUCAGGUAAAGCAUAGGAGAGUAAUUAGGUUAGUGUAGGUUAGAAUAUGAUUUCUUUUCUCGCACUCUUUAUUUGGGAUUGUAUAAUUAGAAUGAACACUAUAUUUUGAAUGUGUUCUGUUUUGUGCGUUUGAUUAAUUGUUUUAUGUGUAUUUUGUGUGUUUUAUACAUUUGUAAUGUCAAAUUAGUCGAUAUGCUCCACCGAGCGACCGUGGUCGAACCACGGGAUCGAAGGAUGCCUAACACCUUCCCCUCGGUCAACUGAAUUCCUUAACUAAAAUCUCUGUUCGCGGAUCAGUUUUAGAGUCAAACCGUUUUGAUAAGGAUCUCCAAAGGUGACUUGGCAUACCCGAUUUAUGCAAAGUGGCGACUCUGAGUUUUGAAUUUAAUUAUAAAAGAUCCUUUUUCGAAAUAAUUUUCACCUUUUGUCACAUAACAAUAAAAACCCUUUCGAACCUUAAAAUUUAAUCUUUUCGGGUUGAAAAAGGGAUGUGACAGCUUUGACGACUCUGUUAGGGACCCUUUUCAGAAUUCGAGCUUAUUUUUGGAGUUAUAUCGGCUUAGUUUUGACAUUAUGAGUGUAUAGACAUUGUUUGUGUUAUUGUUUGUAUCUGUUUAUCAUUGUUGAGUGCUUACGUGUUUACAGUUUUUUUCUUAUGUGCUACCACUUUAUAUUUGACAUCAUUUGCAUAAUCCGAGUCAAUUCUUUUUGCAAUAAGUUAUGUAGUACACGCUGUGUACACGACCUAUAGUUGAGUCACCCUUAUUUUUAGAAGGGGGAGCCGUUGGCUGGUAUGGAGUGGGUGGAAAGCUAGUGCAGCCACUAUUGACCAUACUCUCCCCCGAACAGCCUUGUUAGUGAACCCCAACGUAGGUUAGCCUUUAGGUCAUGCUUAUCUGCAUCAUAUUGAGACCUAGCGGGACUCACUUGGUCCUUUGUAGGAGACUCACCUCUAAAGCAUUUCUACGUGCUAAAUGUUGCAUAUUUGAGGGUAGCAGGGUCAUUUGACAGACUGAUUUGAGCAAAAGCAUGCGUUAGAAGCAAAGUGUGUAGGCAAGAAAUUGUUGAAAAGAAGAGUGAAAAAAAAGAAAAAAAAGAGAGUUUCGUAAUUUUUUAGAGAUCUUUAUGACUUUUAUUUCUCACAAUACAAAAUUUGAAAAAGAUUUUUCUACUUUUUUUCAUGCAUUUACUCAAAAAAACGAAACAAAAACAUUAAAAAUAUUUUCUUUUGAUUCCUUUAGCAUGCAUUAAUAAUUCAAAAUUUUCAAAAAAUAUUUUUUUAAUAGGAGUUUUUUUUAUAAAAGAAGAAUUAAAAAAAAUGGUAGAAGUUUUUUACAUUUCAUAUAGCGAAAAUAUCAAAAAGAUUUUUUUUUCUUUCGUAGUUGUUGGUGUCAGUCUUAUGUGAAGUGUCAAAUGAGAAAAACUCAAAAGAAAAAAAAUUAAUUAACGAUGUUCAUUGUUUGUCUUUGGUCGUAUCUCUCAAGUCAGGGUCUAGUUUGUUAUUCAAUCAUUAGUUGUUCAAUCUGGACGAACUACGCACCCCUGAUUCUCGUCUUUUGGGAGUAAGAUACGUAGGCAGCCUAUUGUUGGUUCGGAGAUCUUAUUUGAAAAAAAAAAAAAAAAGAUUUUCAUCAAUUUUUUUGUCAAUUUGUUAUUUUUGAAGUUUCUGGAAAAAAAAAAAGGAAAAAGAAUUAAUUGGUCAUUUUGGCAAGACUUCACGAACUACGCACACCUGAUCUCCUCUUUCGGGGGUGAGAUACGUAGGCUCCCUUCUUGGGUUUUGUGACCUUUUAAAAAAAAAAAAGAUUUGAAAAAAAAUGUUGAAUUCUAACGCAUUUGCUAUCUCUUGUUCAGUUAGUUUAAGGUUGUUUGUUUGUGGCAUUUUGGCUGGUCCUCCAUAUUGCACCAAGUCACAGAGAAAGUUAUGACCAACAAGGAUAUCGAGUUUGUUGUCACUGAUCAGAUAGGGGUUCGGACAAUGAGAAUUUAGGAGCUAAUGAAGA